RNAcentral lists this ribosomal RNA (492 nucleotides) under uncultured bacterium. RNAcentral's name for it is "partial 16S ribosomal RNA". It matches the Rfam family "Bacterial small subunit ribosomal RNA", at positions 29 to 507 of the family's 1533-position model. The record is from RNAcentral.
AGCGAACGCUGGCGGUAUGCUUAACACAUGCAAGUCGAACGGCAGCACCUUAAUUGCUUGCUCUUAUGGAUGGCGACUGGCGGACGGCUGAGGAAUACAUCGUAAUCUACUUUUUCGUGGGUGUUCACGUAGGGAAACUUACGCUAAUACCGCAUACGACCUACGGGUGAAAGCAGGCGAUCUUCGGACCCUGCUCGCUUGAAUGAGCCGAUGUCGGAUUAGCUAGUUGGCGGGGUAAAGGCCCACCAAGGCGACGAUCCGUAGCUGGUCUGAGAGGCUGAUCAGCCACACUGGAACGGGGACACGGUCAAGACGCCUAAGAGAAGGAGCAGUGGGAAAUGGUAGAAAAUGGGAGGGAGCCUGAUCCAGACGUAGCGAGUGGGUGAAGAAGACGUUCGGGUUGGAAAGCCCUUUUGUUGGGAAAGAAAAGCAGCAGGUUAGGACGCAGCGGUUGUGACGGUACCCAAAGAAGAAGCACCGGCUAACUUCGUG